CCAUUUCUAUUCUUCAGAGGUACUGAGAAAACAAAUCUCUCUGCCAUUCAGUUUGAUUCCCCUUCCCCCUCUCCACACACCAACAAGCCCUCUGCCCAGGCUGGUCGCCUAACAGACAUGUACCAGGGAGUGUGGGAUUUCCACUGACAAGGGGCCAUGAGCAAAGGCACACUGCCCUGUGUCAGGGGCACCUGUGGGUUUAUGGAUCUCUUUCUUGCCCUGCAGCCCUCUCCUGACCACCCCAGGAAUUCAGCUCCAGCCUAGAAGAGGGCCUGCACCAUCUAGUCUCCUGCUGCUGCUGCCUCGCGUGUUGCCAUGGCAAUCCCUGUGGCUGCCCGGGAUACCCAUUGCUGCUCCAGAAUUCUCUGCUUAGGCAGGGCAGCUCUCCUACAGCACGUGUGAGACACCGCCCUUUGCCAUGGUAUGAUCACCAGUAUGGAGCCUGGAAAGCCUGACACUGGCCUCUCCUUUCCAGUUCUGAAAGGGAGCCACUGUAGAGCUACUGGCAGAUCUACACAACUCAAGAUGCAGCUCACCCCUCUGUCUCAGGUUUCAGGACAACACCUGAGACUCUUCUUUUUCCUGCCCCUGAGGACACACAGACACCGUGGCAACCGCACUAAGCCCAGGGGUGAUGUGUUUUCCUACAUGGAGUUUCACCCACCCAUGCAGGAGUCCACCAUUGACCAUCUUCAUUGUAAGCCACCCUGCCCCCAACCAGCACUAUGCUCAAAGCCAAAAGAAACAACCAAACAUGAAAUUCUGGUGAAAACCACUUUUGAAAUUCCACAUGCCCUUGAAUGUUAA
Molecule: long non-coding RNA, 807 nt
Filed under: Rhinopithecus bieti (black snub-nosed monkey)
Lineage: Eukaryota; Metazoa; Chordata; Mammalia; Primates; Cercopithecidae
Description: lncRNA (ENSRBIG00000045309.1)
Source: RNAcentral